GAAGAAUUGAAGGAGAAACCCUUGGUCCUAACUUCCGGUAACGGUCAGGGACUAACCAAUAGGAAGUUGUCUGCCUCUGCAGCUCCUUUCAACCCAUCAACACCCAUUCCUCGUGCUGCACCAUGCCCCGUGAACAUCGUCCUUCCUCCUGGACCUGGACCUGUUCCAGCCAUUGCACCUUGGCCAGUGAACAUGCCUAUUCAUCCUGCAUCUCCUCCUGUCUUACCAAAUCCAGCAUGCUCUUCCCCUCACCAUCCAUUUCCUUCACCUCCUCCAACUCCAAACAUGAUGCAGCAUCUACCCUUUAUGUAUCCACCCUAUUCUCAACCCCAACCUGUACCAACAAGCACCUUUCCUCUAACU
This 363-nucleotide long non-coding RNA is filed under the name Gossypium raimondii (Peruvian cotton). Its description in RNAcentral is "long non-coding RNA (GRAI_LNC006544)". Lineage: Eukaryota; Viridiplantae; Streptophyta; Magnoliopsida; Malvales; Malvaceae. The record is from RNAcentral.